Molecule: ribosomal RNA, 324 nt
Filed under: uncultured eukaryote
Lineage: Eukaryota
Description: partial 18S ribosomal RNA
Rfam family: Eukaryotic small subunit ribosomal RNA
Source: RNAcentral
CCCUUAGACGUUCUGGGCCGCACGCGCGCUACACUGACCAGUGCAACAAGCAUCCGUCCUUGGCCGACAGGCCCGGGCAAUCUUUGAACGCUGGUCGUGAUGGGGAUAGACUUUUGCAAUUUUUGGUCUUCAACGAGGAAUUCCUAGUAAACGCAAGUCAUCAACUUGCAUUGAUUACGUCCCUGCCCUUUGUACACACCGCCCGUCGCACCUACCGAUUGAAUGUUUCGGUGAAGAUUCCGGAUAGGACUUUUUUGAUUUAUUUCAAUUUUGUCUUAAAAGCUAUCUAAACCUCAACAUUUAGAGGAAGGUGAAGUCGUAACA